GAUGAACGCUGGCGGCGUGCCUAAUACAUGCAAGUCGAGCGAACGGACGAUAAGCUCUUUUCCUUGCUGUUAGCGGCUGACGGGCGAGUAACACGUGGAUAACCUACUUAUAAUACUGGGAUAACUUCGGGAAACCGGAGCUACUACUGGCUCAUAUGUCCUACGGCAUGGUUCAAAAGUGAUAGACGCCUUUGCUGUCACUUAUAGAUGGUUCCGUGCUGCAUUAGCUAGUUGGUAAGGUAACGGCCUACCAAGGCAACGAUGCAUAGCCGACCUGAGAGGGUGAUCGGCCACACUGGAACUGAGACACGGUCCAGACUCCUACGGGAGGCAGCAGUGGGGAAUCUUGCACAAUGGGCGAAAGCCUGACGGAGCCACACCGCGUGAGUGAUGAAGGUCUUCGGAUCGUAAAGCUCUGUUAUUAGGAAAGAAAAUAUGUGUAAGUAACUGUGCACGUCUUGACGGUACCUAAACAGAAAGCCACGGCUAACUACGUG
This 497-nucleotide ribosomal RNA is filed under the name uncultured bacterium. RNAcentral's name for it is "partial 16S ribosomal RNA". It matches the Rfam family "Bacterial small subunit ribosomal RNA", at positions 28 to 507 of the family's 1533-position model. The record is from RNAcentral.